RNAcentral lists this ribosomal RNA (879 nucleotides) under Triticum aestivum (bread wheat). RNAcentral's name for it is "partial small subunit ribosomal RNA". The record is from RNAcentral. Lineage: Eukaryota; Viridiplantae; Streptophyta; Magnoliopsida; Poales; Poaceae.
GAUAACAUCAAUGGAUCCAUUCAAAUAAUCAAGAUAAUGACAUAGAAAGCGCCACGCGUGGCACGUACUGUUGUGCGUGGAAGUAUAUCUGCUUACAGCGAUGCAAAGAGUGUAGAAAACGCAAGCGAAGACUUGACAUUUCUGUUUCUUGUACCUCCAGGUACAGACUCUUGGCCUUUUAAUACCUGUAGUCGACCACCGCUUCCUAGCUCACAAACACAAAGCUCAAACAGCUCAUACAAUGGUUAGGGUGCUGGACCACGCUGUGGCUGGAGGCAUUGCCGCCGGACCCCUGCAGCACUCCCCCGGGACCGUCGUGGGUCUGGUUUUCGUCUUCAUGGCCGCGGCAGCGAUCGUGGCAAUUGCCGUGUUCGGCUGCGCCGACGACGGGGAGGGGAAGCCGACACGGCGCCGCAGCCACUGGGGAGGCGGUGGCGCAGGAGGUGGCGCAGGUUGCGGAGGAGGAUGUGGUGGCGGCGGCGGCGGUGGCGGGUGUUGAGAAGCGCGUCAUGCAGGGGAGCUCUUGAAAUGGAUUUAAGUUAUAUGGCCGACUGUACGUACUUCAUUCUGUCCAUAUAUCUCUGUAUAUAUAUACCAUGUUGUCCUCAUAUAUGUAUAUAAUUUGGAUCAUCUUUGGCGUGUAAGAAUUGUUUGUGUGUUGAAUGGUAACAGCUGAUUCUGAAGACCCGCGGAUCAAGCACAAUAUAUGUAUCAAAAACCGUGCUCUUUUUGGUUGUUUUCAUAACCUAUUUUCGAACUUGGUUGUUUUUGUAUGAUGUGGGAAUUACAUGUUGUAUUCCUCAGGUGCAAACGCACGUAUAUAUGAUGUACAGGAGUAGCCCACGACCUCAACUAUACAAGGCAACUAGGAGGUGUUGG